CUCCAUCACCUCCUCCUCCAGCAAAGUCCGUUUCCGAUGGGCCAAGGAAGACCGUGGCCAUGCCUCAGGCUAACAAGGUCGCGAAGCAACAGAAGAAAGGAUUUUUUUUCUCCAUCUUUUUUUAAUAUCGAGAGAUAUGAGGAUCGUGACCGAAGGAUCCUUGGUAGAGAGGUCUGACGAUGGUGAAAAGGAAAAGAAUGUUAUAGGAUAUCAUUGAAGAGUCCACCGAACGGUGGAAGAAGUAUGAUACUACCGAACGGUCUAUGGAAGAAGGCUACCGAACGGUCUGUGGAAGAAGGCUACCGAACGGUGGAAGAAAUCUGAAGCUACCGAGCAGUCGAUGGAAGAAGGCUACCGAAAGGUUUGUGGAAGAAGACUACCGAACGGUGGAAGAAAUCUGAAGCUACCGAGCGGUCGGUGGAAGAAGGUUACCGAACGGUCUGUCGAAGAAGACUACCAGAGAUUCCUUUCUUCUUACCUGGAUUCCCUACGUCCUGGGUUCUUGUUCGAGACAUUCGUCUUCCUAGAAGAAUCAAAGAAGAAGAAGCGAUGAUCCAAUCGUCGAUCCAAGUGAAUGAGGCCCAGGGGAUGUUGCCAGAUUCAGAGAAGAUUGAAAAACCUACUAAUGCAUCCACUUCCUUCGAAUCUCUCACGUAAGUUCUGAAACAAAAGAUGCAAGCCAGUACAAUUAUGGGUUCUCUACAACAAUUUGUUUGGACCAAGGGGAUGGGUUUCCCCACAAAGGGGUAUGGUAAUAACUACGGGUUUGUAUUUGAAGUGAAGUUCCGUAAUAUGAAGCCAUGCAAAGCUUCCCCUGUUGAAGGGAGUUUAGUCAUGGGAAGAUGUCAUCUCUGUCUUUCUCUGUUCCUGAAAUUGGAGGUGAUGGAAGUAGCUUCCUGGACCA
Vigna angularis (adzuki bean) is the source of this 904-nucleotide long non-coding RNA. RefSeq lists it as uncharacterized. NCBI's taxonomy places the organism in Eukaryota, Viridiplantae, Streptophyta, Magnoliopsida, Fabales, Fabaceae. The record is from RefSeq and is a predicted model, not a curated record. The transcript is spliced from 4 exons.